UCGAGAAUCUUGGGCAAUGCGCGAAAGCGUGACCCAGCAAUGCCGCGUGCGGGAUGAAGGUCUUCGGAUUGUAAACCGCUGUCACUCGGGACGAACAAAAUGACGGUACCGGGGGAGGAAGCCACGGCUAACUACGUGCCAGCAGCCGCGGAAAUACGUAGGUGGCGAGCGUUGUUCGGAUUUAUUGGGCGUAAAGGGUCUGUAGGAGGUUUCUUAAAUUCGAGGUGAAAUCCCGGAGCUCAACUUCGGAACUGCCUUGGAGACUGGGAGACUAGAGUACUGGAGAGAUGAGCGGAAUACCAAGUGUAGCGAUGGGAUGCGUAGAUAUUUGGUAGAACACCAAGGGCGAAGGCAGCUUGCUAGACAGAAACUGACUCAGAACGACGAAAACGUGGGGAGCAAACA
This 405-nucleotide ribosomal RNA is filed under the name uncultured bacterium. RNAcentral's name for it is "bacterial SSU rRNA". It matches the Rfam family "Bacterial small subunit ribosomal RNA", at positions 355 to 774 of the family's 1533-position model. The record is from RNAcentral.